AGAUGGCUUUGGCUAUCACUCUGGGAUGGACCUGCGGUGCAUUAGCUAGUUGGUAAGGUAACGGCUUACCAAGGCGAUGAUGCAUAGCCGAGUUGAGAGACUGAUCGGCCACAAUGGAACUGAGACACGGUCCAUACUCCUACGGGAGGCAGCAGUAGGGAAUCUUCCACAAUGGGCGCAAGCCUGAUGGAGCAACACCGCGUGAGUGAAGAAGGGUUUCGGCUCGUAAAGCUCUGUUGUUGGAGAAGAACGUGCGUGAGAGUAACUGUUCACGCAGUGACGGUAUCCAACCAGAAAGUCACGGCUAACUACGUGCCAGCAGCCGCGGUAAUACGUAGGUGGCAAGCGUUAUCCGGAUUUAUUGGGCGUAAAGCGAGCGCAGGCGGUUGCUUAGGUCUGAUGUGAAAGCCUUCGGCUUAACCGAAGAAGUGCAUCGGAAACCGGGCGACUUGAGUGCAGAAGAGGACAGUGGAACUCCAUGUGUAGCGGUGGAAUGCGUAGAUAUAUGGAAGAACACCAGUGGCGAAGGCGGCUGUCUGGUCUGCAACUGACGCUGAGGCUCGAAAGCAUGGGUAGCGAACAGGAUUAGAUACCCUGGUAGUCCAUGCCGUAAACGAUGAGUGCUAGGUGUUGGAGGGUUUCCGCCCU
RNAcentral lists this ribosomal RNA (648 nucleotides) under uncultured bacterium. RNAcentral's name for it is "bacterial SSU rRNA". It matches the Rfam family "Bacterial small subunit ribosomal RNA", at positions 202 to 839 of the family's 1533-position model. The record is from RNAcentral.